GACGAACGCUGGCGGCGUGCUUAACACAUGCAAGUCGAACGGUGAAGCGCCUUCCUUUUUGGUGGGUGUGGAUGAGUGGCGAACGGGUGAGUAACACGUGAGUAACCUGCCCCCUUCUUCUGGAUAACCGCAUGAAAGUGUGGCUAAUACGGGAUAUUCUGGGUCUGUCGCAUGAUGGGUCUGGGAAAGAUAUUGUUUCGGUGGGGGAUGGGCUCGCGGCCUAUCAGCUUGUUGGUGGGGUGAUGGCCUACCAAGGCGGUGACGGGUAGCCGGCCUGAGAGGGUGGACGGUCGCACGGGGACUGAGACACGGCCCAGACGCGUACGGGAGGCGGCAGUGGGGAAUAGUGCACAAUGGGCGCAAGCCUGAUGCAGCGACGCCGCGUGAGGGAUGGAGGCCUUCGGGUUGUGAACCUCUUUCGCCAGUGAAGCAGGCCUGCCUCGUUUGUGGGUGGGUUGACGGUAGCUGGAUAAGAAGCGCCGGCUAACUACGUG
This 494-nucleotide ribosomal RNA is filed under the name uncultured bacterium. RNAcentral describes it as "partial 16S ribosomal RNA". It matches the Rfam family "Bacterial small subunit ribosomal RNA", at positions 28 to 507 of the family's 1533-position model. The record is from RNAcentral.